AUUACUGUCAAUCUAUUUAUCACUGCUAAUCUAUUACUAUUAAUCUAUCACUGCUAAUCUAUCACUGUUAAUCUAUCACUGCUAAUCUAUUACUGCUAAUCUAUCACUGCUAAUCUAUCACUGCUAAUCUAUUACUACUAAUCUAUUAUUACUAAUCUAUUACUGUUAAUCUAUCACUGCUAAUCUAUCACUGCUAAUCUAUCACUACUAAUUUAUCACUGCUAAUCUAUUACUGCUAAUCUAUUACUAUUAAUUUAUUGCUGUCAAUCUAUCUAUUACUAUCAAUCUAUCUAUCACUGUCAAUCUAUCUAUUACUGUUAAUCUAUCUAUCACUGUCAAUCUAUCUAUCACUGUCAAUUUAUCUAUUGCUGUCAAUCUAUCUAU
This 384-nucleotide small RNA is filed under the name Histoplasma capsulatum. RNAcentral describes it as "hypothetical RNA". The record is from RNAcentral. RNAcentral also lists the same sequence under 1 other name. Lineage: Eukaryota; Fungi; Ascomycota; Eurotiomycetes; Onygenales; Ajellomycetaceae.